Molecule: ribosomal RNA, 256 nt
Filed under: uncultured bacterium
Lineage: Bacteria
Description: partial 16S ribosomal RNA
Rfam family: Bacterial small subunit ribosomal RNA
Source: RNAcentral
UACGUAGGGUGCAAGCGUUAAUCGGAAUUACUGGGCGUAAAGCGUGCGCAGGCGGCUAUGCAAGACAGAUGUGAAAUCCCCGGGCUCAACCUGGGAACUGCAUUUGUGACUGCAUAGCUAGAGUACGGUAGAGGGGGAUGGAAUUCCGCGUGUAGCAGUGAAAUGCGUAGAUAUGCGGAGGAACACCGAUGGCGAAGGCAAUCCCCUGGACCUGGUACUGACGCUCAUGCACGAAACGCGUGGGGAGCCAAACAGG